This 533-nucleotide ribosomal RNA is filed under the name uncultured archaeon. RNAcentral's name for it is "bacterial SSU rRNA". It matches the Rfam family "Archaeal small subunit ribosomal RNA", at positions 102 to 635 of the family's 1478-position model. The record is from RNAcentral.
GGAUAAUCUACCCUUAGGACCGGGAUAACCCUGGGAAACUGGGGAUAAUACUGGAUAGGCAAUUUUUCCUGUAAUGGUUUUUUGUUUAAAUGUUUUUUCGCCUAAGGAUGAGUCUGCGGCCGAUUAGGUAGUUGGUUAGGUAAUGGCUUACCAAGCCGUUGAUCGGUACGGGUUGUGAGAGCAAGAGCCCGGAGAUGGAACCUGAGACAAGGUUCCAGGCCCUACGGGGUGCAGCAGGCGCGAAACCUCCGCAAUGUGAGAAAUCGCGACGGGGGGAUCCCAAGUGCCAUUCUUAACGGGAUGGCUUUUCAUUAGUGUAAAGAGCUUUUGGAAUAAGAGCUGGGCAAGACCGGUGCCAGCCGCCGCGGUAACACCGGCAGCUCUAGUGGUAGCAAUUUUUAUUGGGCCUAAAGCGUCCGUAGCCGGUUUAAUAAGUCUCUGGUGAAAUCCUGCAGCUUAACUGUGGGAAUUGCUGGAGAUACUAUUAGACUUGAGACCGGGAGAGGUUAGAGGUACUCCCAGGGUAGAGGUGA